AGUCGGACGGCAGCACAGAGAAGCUUGCUUCUCGGGUGGCGAGUGGCGAACGGGUGAGUAACAUAUCGGAACGUACCGAGUAGUGGGGGAUAACUGAUCGAAAGAUCAGCUAAUACCGCAUACGUCUUGAGAGAGAAAGCAGGGGACUUUCGGGCCUUGCGCUAUUCGAGCGGCCGAUAUCUGAUUAGCUAGUUGGUGGGGUAAAGGCCUACCAAGGCGACGAUCAGUAGCGGGUCUGAGAGGAUGAUCCGCCACACUGGGACUGAGACACGGCCCAGACUCCUACGGGAGGCAGCAGUGGGGAAUUUUGGACAAUGGGCGCAAGCCUGAUCCAGCCAUGCCGCGUGUCUGAAGAAGGCCUUCGGGUUGUAAAGGACUUUUGUCAGGGAAGAAAAGGCUGUUGCUAAUAUCAGCGGCUGAUGACGGUACCUGAAGAAUAAGCACCGGCUAA
RNAcentral lists this ribosomal RNA (451 nucleotides) under Neisseria meningitidis. Its description in RNAcentral is "bacterial SSU rRNA". It matches the Rfam family "Bacterial small subunit ribosomal RNA", at positions 60 to 500 of the family's 1533-position model. Lineage: Bacteria; Pseudomonadati; Pseudomonadota; Betaproteobacteria; Neisseriales; Neisseriaceae. The record is from RNAcentral.